RNAcentral lists this ribosomal RNA (449 nucleotides) under uncultured bacterium. RNAcentral describes it as "partial 16S ribosomal RNA". It matches the Rfam family "Bacterial small subunit ribosomal RNA", at positions 29 to 523 of the family's 1533-position model. The record is from RNAcentral.
AACGAACGCUGGCGGCAUGCCUAACACAUGCAAGUCGAACGAGACCUUCGGGUCUAGUGGCGCACGGGUGCGUAACGCGUGGGAAUCUGCCCUUGGGUUCGGAAUAACAGUUAGAAAUGACUGCUAAUACCGGAUGAUGUCUUCGGACCAAAGAUUUAUCGCCCAGGGAUGAGCCCGCGUAGGAUUAGCUAGUUGGUGAGGUAAAGGCUCACCAAGGCGACGAUCCUUAGCUGGUCUGAGAGGAUGAUCAGCCACACUGGGACUGAGACACGGCCCAGACUCCUACGGGAGGCAGCAGUGGGGAAUAUUGGACAAUGGGCGAAAGCCUGAUCCAGCAAUGCCGCGUGAGUGAUGAAGGCCUUGGGGUUGUAAAGCUCUUUUACCGGGGAUGAUAAUGACAGUACCGGGAGAAUAAGCCCCGGCUAACUCCGUGCCAGCCGCCGCGGUAA